This 236-nucleotide ribosomal RNA is filed under the name uncultured bacterium. RNAcentral describes it as "partial 16S ribosomal RNA". It matches the Rfam family "Bacterial small subunit ribosomal RNA", at positions 15 to 233 of the family's 1533-position model. The record is from RNAcentral.
GAUCCUGGCUCAGGAUGAACGCUGGCGGCGUGCUUAACACAUGCAAGUCGAGCGAAGCAAUUUAAGUGAAGUUUUCGGAUGGAUCUUAAAUUGACUGAGCGGCGGACGGGUGAGUAACGCGUGGAUAACCUGCCUCACACAGGGGGAUAACAGUUAGAAAUGACUGCUAAUACCGCAUAAGCGCACAGUACCGCAUGGUAUAGUGUGAAAAACUCCGGUGGUGUGAGAUGGAUCCG